This 872-nucleotide ribosomal RNA is filed under the name Pediococcus pentosaceus. RNAcentral describes it as "bacterial SSU rRNA". It matches the Rfam family "Bacterial small subunit ribosomal RNA", at positions 45 to 908 of the family's 1533-position model. Lineage: Bacteria; Bacillati; Bacillota; Bacilli; Lactobacillales; Lactobacillaceae. The record is from RNAcentral.
UGAUUAUGACGUACUUGUACUGAUUGAGAUUUUAACACGAAGUGAGUGGCGAACGGGUGAGUAACACGUGGGUAACCUGCCCAGAAGUAGGGGAUAACACCUGGAAACAGAUGCUAAUACCGUAUAACAGAGAAAACCGCAUGGUUUUCUUUUAAAAGAUGGCUCUGCUAUCACUUCUGGAUGGACCCGCGGCGUAUUAGCUAGUUGGUGAGGUAAAGGCUCACCAAGGCAGUGAUACGUAGCCGACCUGAGAGGGUAAUCGGCCACAUUGGGACUGAGACACGGCCCAGACUCCUACGGGAGGCAGCAGUAGGGAAUCUUCCACAAUGGACGCAAGUCUGAUGGAGCAACGCCGCGUGAGUGAAGAAGGGUUUCGGCUCGUAAAGCUCUGUUGUUAAAGAAGAACGUGGGUAAGAGUAACUGUUUACCCAGUGACGGUAUUUAACCAGAAAGCCACGGCUAACUACGUGCCAGCAGCCGCGGUAAUACGUAGGUGGCAAGCGUUAUCCGGAUUUAUUGGGCGUAAAGCGAGCGCAGGCGGUCUUUUAAGUCUAAUGUGAAAGCCUUCGGCUCAACCGAAGAAGUGCAUUGGAAACUGGGAGACUUGAGUGCAGAAGAGGACAGUGGAACUCCAUGUGUAGCGGUGAAAUGCGUAGAUAUAUGGAAGAACACCAGUGGCGAAGGCGGCUGUCUGGUCUGCAACUGACGCUGAGGCUCGAAAGCAUGGGUAGCGAACAGGAUUAGAUACCCUGGUAGUCCAUGCCGUAAACGAUGAUUACUAAGUGUUGGAGGGUUUCCGCCCUUCAGUGCUGCAGCUAACGCAUUAAGUAAUCCGCCUGGGGAGUACGACCGCAAGGUUGAAACUCAAAGAA